Molecule: long non-coding RNA, 2576 nt
Filed under: Lotus japonicus
Lineage: Eukaryota; Viridiplantae; Streptophyta; Magnoliopsida; Fabales; Fabaceae
Description: long non-coding RNA (LJAP_LNC001384)
Source: RNAcentral
GGAGACUCAACUGCUUUUUAAAGCUUGUCCUAUAGUGUAGUAGCCAUUGGAUUCUCAGCCAAUUCCUGUGGGAGGUUCACUAGGCACCGGGCAGGAGAUGGAACCAAUUCUGAUGCCUCUUCCAAGGGAGGGGGUGGCCGUGUGGUUGUUCAUUGGGGCAUGCGGAUGUUGGAGGUGGGAAUUGACUCCAUUUGGAGCAGCUGGAGGAGGUGGAAUUGACUCCAUUGCGGGAUUUCUAGAUCUCCCAAAGAGUAUAGCCAAUAAUAGUAAGUGGGAGAUCUGGAUCCUGGGAGUCUGUUGGGAUGGAAGUGAUAGUAUGAUUGAGCCAGUCGUUGAAUUGGGUUUCUCUUAGGACAGAGGGAGAGAGGUGUAGAAGGCCUCCAAACCAAACAGCUCUGACCCACUCACAUCGGAGGAAAGCAUGUGUGGCAGAUUCUUCUUCUUGUUCACAUAUGGGGCAAGUGUUUUCUCUAGAGAUUUGAAAGGGGUGGGUAAGAGGUUGAAGGAUUAUGGCUAAGUGAGGUUGCUUUGUUUUUUAUUUGUCUAUAACCAGAUUUUACAGAGUAAGAGCCAGAUUCUCUGUGAGGUCAUAUGAGAGUGUCUUCCCCUGCUGAGAGUUUUAUGGGGGUUUGAAGGAUUUUUCCUAGGUCCACUAGGGGGAGCAUCUCUCUGAUUUUCUCUAUGUCCCAUCUAUGAUUAACAUCAUCCAGAAUACAGUGCACUGUAGUAUCCUCAAGGAGGGAUUCCUUGAUUAGGGGCUCACCAGAGGCCAGCCAAGAUAAAGGCCAGGGUUGUCCCAUAUCUGUAGGCUCAGGAUAUUGGCCAGUUCUGAUUUUCUCUAGGCAGGCAGAUAUUUACCUCCUAUGAAGCCAGAUUUAACAAUAUUUAUUCUUUGGCCCAAUGCUUCCGAAAAGGAAUUUAGGAUUUGUUGAAGUUGAUAGAACUCUUGAUUUGUGGAUGGCGUCAUCAAGUCCAGGUGCCUUCAUACUCCCCAAAUUAUGGACAAGCGAAGGAACAUAAGAUAAACAGGUUUGAAGGGUUAGAGGAGGUGUAGAUGUCACGAUAGAAAUCAAUGCUAGCCUUUCCAAUGUUAGUUUGGCCUUCUACCCAUUGACCUGAGGAAUCUUUGAUUCUGGAAAUUCUAUUUCUUUCUCUCCUUUGUACGGUGGUAGCAUGAAAGAAUCCGGAAUUUUUGUCCCCCCACUGUAGCCAUUUAACUCUAGAACGUUGGUUCCAAAAUAUUUCCUCUUGCUGCCAAAGCUGUGUGAUACGUUGCUGGAUGUGGUUAAUUUCUCCCCCAAUUCAUGAUUGUGGAGUUCUCACUUUGUAUCUGGAGAAGCCUGUCUUUGAGCCUUCUAAUUUCCUCAUCUGCCCUUGAAAAAUUGGCUUUGUUCCAAGAUUGGAGGUGGGUGAAAAAUUGGCUUUUUUAGUUGAUCAUUUUCUUUUUAAUCUUUGAGCCCAUUUUAUUAUAACUUUUUUUUGGCUCGUUUUUAAUAUCUUGUGUCGUGGGAUAUUUGGGUAUUUUAUUUUUUUGUCGAAGGAUAUUUGGGUUUUGAUACCACUUGUUAAACUUCAAAGUGUGGGGCCAAAAUAUUCCAUUGCACUGUUGUAUUUCUAUGGGCCAUGUAGGAUCAUUUUUGUUUAUUUGGGCUUUAGCCUUUACCAAUGAAUCUCUAUUGACCAAAAUAGAGAGCCCCAAUCUUUUUCAUUCAUGAGGGCCCAAAGGCCAGAAAACAAUUGAUGACACUGCAGGGUAACUAAGCAAUAGAAUAGAUGUUAGGGUUGCUAUAAGUAAGGAGGUACGUUAACUCAGAAAAGAGUUGAUUGUUCCCUAUGAAAUAGGGGUGUAGAGAGCUGAAUGGUGUUCUGAGGGAGCUUCCCUAGUAGUUAGGUAGCUUCUGUGUACCCUUAAAUAGCUACUGAAGAACUAAACAGUAGCUUCUGUUUAACCUUAAAAGGCUUGGGCAUAGAGCACCCAAUAAUAUAUACCAUUGUUCUCUGCUCCUUCCUCAAUUGUAUGUGAAACUAUUUUAUCUUUCUUUCAACAGUAUUGAAUUACAUAUCCAACCAAUUUCAUUUUAACAAUGUGAACUCUUGCAUUUGAUUUGAAAAAGGCUUUACAAGUGAAAAAUAUUAUAAAGGAGUAUAAGUAAUAAUAUAAGUUCAAAUUAACCUGGAAGAAACCCCAUUCUUUACAUGCAGAGUGUAGCUUCUGUAGCUCAGUUGCAUCUUCAGAUAACAAUUUAUUGAGGUCGAUGACUGGGACUUGUGGUGAAGAGGUUGAAUUAGGUGCAACAUUAAUAGGAUCUUGAUUUGGACGAAGAUAUUGCUCUGGAAGUUCAAUCAUGUGUUGCUUUGCAAGCUCCUGGACUGAAGGCACCAAUAGAGAGGUUCCAAGCUUGGACAUUUUUCUGCUUGGGUUGAUUACUACAAAAAUUGGACCCAACUUGGGCCACAAAGCUUUUAAUUUCGAUGAACUAUUUUUGUAGUGAUACUGUAAUAUAUGAACUAUUUCGAUGUACCGUAAACAAAAGGCUGCAAUAUAUGAAAAAAAUAUAUAGUGCCAUUCUAACAAA